RNAcentral lists this ribosomal RNA (450 nucleotides) under uncultured Glomus. RNAcentral describes it as "SSU rRNA". It matches the Rfam family "Eukaryotic small subunit ribosomal RNA", at positions 569 to 1025 of the family's 1831-position model. The record is from RNAcentral. Lineage: Eukaryota; Fungi; Glomeromycota; Glomeromycetes; Glomerales; Glomeraceae.
AGCAGCCGCGGUAAUUCCAGCUCCAAUAGCGUAUAUUAAAGUUGUUGCAGUUAAAAAGCUCGUAGUUGAACCUCGGGAUCAAUUGAUUGGUCAUGCCAUUGGUAUGUACUGGUCAUAUUGGUUCUCACCUUCUAAGGAACCUUAAUGUCAUUAAUUUGAUGUUUUGGGGAAUUAGGACUGUUACCUUGAAAAAUUAGAGUGUUUAAAGCAGGCUAACGCUUGAAUACAUUAGCAUGGAAUAAUGAAAUAGGACAUCGCAUUCUAUUUUGUUGGUUUCUAGGAUCGAUGUAAUGAUUAAUAGGGAUAGUUGGGGGCAUUAGUAUUCAAUUGUCAGAGGUGAAAUUCUUGGAUUUUAUUGAAGACUAACUACUGCGAAAGCAUUUGCCAAGGAUGUUUUCAUUAUCAAGACGAAAGUUAGGGGAUCGAAGACGAUCAGAUACCGUCGUAGUC